Molecule: long non-coding RNA, 3307 nt
Organism: Mangifera indica (mango)
Lineage: Eukaryota; Viridiplantae; Streptophyta; Magnoliopsida; Sapindales; Anacardiaceae
Exons: 3
Source: RefSeq, a predicted model, not a curated record
UGUUAGAGGUAAAAUCAUAAUAUUUUUUUGAGAUAUUAAUUAAAACAGGUAAAAAACUUUCUGAUUAAAUUUUUUUAGGCAAAUAUUUAACACACUUACAUUUAUAAGCAAAGUACAUGAAAAUUAUCUAUUCUACUCUUCCUAUUAUAAUCUAACAAAAAUGAACAAUUUUGUUUCUAAAUAAAUUAAAUAGCACUCUCGUAGUUGGGAAUGCAAAAUUUGUGAUGAUUUAACUGAGUUAAUAGUGACUCCAUUUCUUGCAUUUCGAAUGUCCAACAAAAACAAUAGCAUUCAACAAUGUCAUCUGAGGUAAGUUUGAUUCCUUGGCUUGUUAAGUUUGAAAUAGGUUUAGUGGUUUUUGUGUCGGCUUAGGAUUUCAAUCGAUUUUAGUGUUUGUUUGGUUUAAGGUUUGUAGGGUUAAGAGUUUCAGUCGAUUUGUGAUGAUUUAUUUUGCAAAUAGUCAUAUAUUUUGGCUGGAUUUUUGCCUUAUUGUGUUGUCAUCGACGUAGAAGAAAGCCAAAUUAUAGUCGCAAUCACAUUUGCAUUCGUAGUCACUUACAAUCGCAUUUGCAUUCACAGUCACUCACAAUCAUAUUCACAUUUGUAGUUCCUCACAUAUCAACUGUUCACAUAAUGGUUUUGUUUUGUUUACAUGGAUUAACAUUGCAAUGUUUGUUUUUUUUUUUCAGGGCAUUCUAGUUAAUCAUCAGGUUGGGGAAAGACGAUAUAAUGAUGCUUAUAGCUUUAGGGCUACUAUAAGUGUUCGAAGUUACGUAGAAACAGUUAAGCAUAUGAGGACUAACUUUAGUCUUGUGUAGAAAGAGAUUUAGGGAAAGCUGUUUUGGACAGUUUUUGGAUCUAGAAGUUCAUAAACAUAACUCGACUAUGAUGCAAUGUGUACUCUCCUAACAAGUUAACAGAAGGGUGCUAGGAGAGGUAUUUUGGUUUAGACUCAAUAGGGUGGACUAUAGAUUUGACCCUGUUGAGUUUGUUAUGAUAACGAGGUUGAAAUUUAGUAGGGAAAUGUAUAUGAGUGAUUACGUUAUGACAGGGAAAAAACAAUUGAGAGAGAGGUAUUUUUAGGUGUCAAACAUGUGUUGUAUGGUGAUCUGCACAAAGCUUUUAAACAAAUGGCAUGAGGGAACAAUGAUGAGCAUGUGAUAAAAAUAAUUGCUUUGUAUUUGCUCCAAUAUGGACUGAUAAGAUCAAAUAAUCGGAAAGUCAUAUUGAAACGUAUCCUCAGUCUAGUUGAUGAUUGAGAUGUGUUUAAUAUAUAUCUAUUGGGGACAAUUGUUAGGAGAAUAAUGACAGAGUGUAUGAGUCAGACAAUAGAGAAGAAGUAUGAUAAAAUUUUGAAAGCAUAUCCAUCAUAUAAAGAGGAUAUCCUAGUGUUAUCUUAAAGGAUGAUAAGAUAUACAAUGACAUUUCAGGUAACCUAAGUAUUAAAAUAACAGUUAUUUUGUUCUUACAUUUUAUGAAUGAUUAUGUACAACUACAAUGUAUUUUCAAUUUUAUAGUUGUGGAUAUAUAAAACUCUAAGCAAUUGAGGGGGUUUUGGAUUUGUAAUUCUAAAGAUAGUGUCCCUUGGAUGUUGAGAUAGAGAAGUUUUGAAAGCCUAGCAUAAGAGGAUGUUGAUCGCAUCUUUAGGGCUUUUCUGGAUGUUGUGACUCCUAUUUUAAUCUCGUCAAUGGUUAAUAAAGAAUUAUCAUGGUACAGAGAUGUUGUGGAUUACGUGGGUGACGAAGAAGAACUUGAUAAUGAUCAUACCCUCGUAAGAUCUCUUGUAGAAAUCCAAUCUCCUUAUUCACAACACCAUAAUACACUUAUACAUAGGCAUCGGAAGAGUGCACUUGUUUAUAGUCCUAUCACAUUAUCUCCUUAGUCGAUUGAAACAACACCCCUUAUAUAGCUCCAAUUGGAUCCGCAUCUAUGGUUGAAAACCAAGUUGAUCAACAUUGGGAGCUUCUCCAAGGGUUCAUGGAUAAAGUUGAUAAGUAUCUUGGAAACUUGGAUGAGCGCUAAACAUCGCUCAAAGAAAAAUUGGUAGAGCUCUAACACAUGUACUGUGCAACCCUAACAAACGAGGUAAGUUUUUCUUAAUGAUUAUUUAUUAUUUACAAUUCGUAAGAUUAUAGGCUAACCAUAAAAAUUAAUUGGUUAUAUUUUUUUUCUAUAAUAUAAGGUGAGUUAACUGAGGUCGUAAUUGAGUUAUCCAGCCAUAAGGAUGUAGUUCCCUAAGAGGCUACUACCUUUGCUUCUGAAACUCUAUUACAACAUCAAUCCGGUACUUGCUAGACAUUAUAAAAGAAAAGUCAUUCACUUCUAAGCGCGUACAUGGACCUAUUAAGAUAGCAGUGCACACGAGAUGUUAUCCAACUGUUGCAACCGUAAGUGGAAGUUGAUUAUAUGAUGGAGUUUUUAUAGUGUUAUGGGGACACAAAUGAAGAUGCCACAACAAUCACUUUUUUGAAUAGACAUUACCAAAAAAAAAAAGAAUGGUAGAGCACACCAUGUUAAGAUAACUAAUGACUACUGGACUAGGUAUGUGAUUUUGAACCCACACAAGAGAUUAUAUCUUUGUCAUAUUAUUAUAUUAUUAAUUACCUCAUUAUAUUUAUAAUAUUGUUGUUUCAAUAUUGAUAACUACUUGGUUGUGUUACGACAUACAUUCCCAUUGGCUAAAUGGACAUAUGUUGAAACAUCUUUUGAUGGGUGGUUGCCACGAGCAUUAAAGGAUUGGGAAGAGGUUGGAUCGGAUAGCUAUUAAUGGCCCUGAUUGUUACUAGACAUGUUCGAAGGAAUAAAUGAUCCAGCCCAAGAUCAGGGCUACCUCUCAUGGGCUUAUAUGGAUAAGGUAUACAUUACAAUCAAUUACGAUUCUCAACAUUGGGCAUGCAGUGAACUAGGCCUAAAUGCAUGGACUUUGAAUAUUUUUUACUCAUUAGCGAAUUUCUUUGAGUCUAUAGAGAGGUUCUCCAAGGCAAUGACACGAUACCAUUACCUCAUAUCUAUUAUUAGUGUGACUAGUUAUUAGGAGGUUAAGGGUGUAGAGCCAAAGAUGAAGCCAUUGAUGAUCGGAUGAUGUACCCAUGUACCCCAACAGGCCAUAGGAUCCAACGCUUAUGGAUAUUCAUAAUCUAGAUUUUAAAGUACCUUGCCACAGGACAUCGAUUUGAUUUUUUUGUUAAAAAAGGCCACCACAAUGCACAAUAUAGUGGCAUCCAAGAUUUGGAAGCGUGAUGACAAUUCACACUGUAGAUGAUUGUUAUUUAUAUUAUAUUACUUGAUUGAAUUAUAUUGUUAUUUA